CGAUGCACUCAAAGACGUUUUCAGUGGACAUUGCUGAUCUAGUUGAAAGUGGGUACUGGCCAGCAACAGUCAAUUUUAAAACCUUGUAUGCAGUGGAUUGGUUCACUAAAUAUGAGGAUCACAAGAUUGCGGCUCUGGGAAUGUCACGGCAAGCUUUUGUUAGCAUGCCUGAACAUCGCACAAAAGUCUUAGGUCGCAGAUUAAGAUAUGUGGGGAUACCAUGCAGAAUGCAUUACUGGAAUAGACCUAUGCCAAAUUUGAAGUUGAGAGGCUGUCUCAGGUGCAGCAUUCAGUGCCCUGCGUGCACACCCUCCAUGUUGGCUUUUGCAGUGGAUGGGAUCCGUAAACUAUACGGCUUUAAGAGCCAACCAGGGAUUCUGAGGUGUCUUCCUUGGUUGACUACAUCCAUGAGACGACAAAACACACUGUGCAAAGGACCUUGAGAACAUCACCACUCUACAGGAAGACACAGUCCAGUAAUGGGUGUCAGAUGUUCAGCAGUGGACGACAGGACCAACCAAUCAAAAUGACUUACAGAACGCCAUUGAGGACUCUAUUUGAGCAUUAAGCAGCAAAGAUUUCAGCUGUAUCGUCAGGCUGGCAGUACUGAGGCAUUUACGGAGACGGGACAUGAGGGUCUACUCUGUGUGCUCAAGAGAAGAUUGCACAAAGUUCAAGCUCAGCAGGCUGCAGUGGGUCCGACAUAUUCUGGAACGGCAACAAUGUCUUUGGAUGACUCCUCCUCUGAAGAGGAAAACAUGGAGUUACUUCUCCACUGAUGAAGAACUGUGAGUGCUGUGAUUAGUUCUUCUCAAGUGAAGCUGUACCACUGUGCUCCAGCUCCACACUCCCUCCUGCAGCCUCCGCUCCUGAUGCUAACCUCCUGUCUCCAUCACACCAAGCAGCAAACCUGGAGUGACAGAACUUUCUCCAUAGCUGCCCCCUCCCUCUGAAACCCCCUCUCCCAAACACUAUUUUUGUAUUUUUUUGCAUGAGAAUUGUUGAUCAUAUCAUUUCCAGCAACUGCCUUAAUGUAAUUUUUGUGCAUAAUAAAUGACAUUGAUCAUAA
Hippoglossus stenolepis (Pacific halibut) is the source of this 1069-nucleotide long non-coding RNA. RefSeq lists it as uncharacterized. The record is from RefSeq and is a predicted model, not a curated record. The transcript has 7 exons. Lineage: Eukaryota; Metazoa; Chordata; Actinopteri; Pleuronectiformes; Pleuronectidae.